Molecule: ribosomal RNA, 345 nt
Filed under: uncultured soil bacterium
Lineage: Bacteria
Description: bacterial SSU rRNA
Rfam family: Bacterial small subunit ribosomal RNA
Source: RNAcentral
AGAAUGAACGCCGGCGGCGUGGUUAAGACAUGCAAGUCGAACGGUUUUUCGGAUGUAGCAAUACAUUCGAAGGACAGUGGCGAACGGGUGCGUAACACGUGAACAAUCUACCUUUUAAUGGGGAAUAGCUCGGCGAAAGCCGGAUUAAUACCGCAUACGAUUGGUCUUCUCCUGGAGACCAUAUCAAAGUCAGGGACCGCAAGGCCUGACGUUAAAAGAGGAGUUCGCGGCCUAUCAGCUAGUUGGCGAGGUAACGGCUCACCAAGGCUAAGACGGGUAGCUGGUCUGAGAGGAUGAUCAGCCACACUGGAACUGAGACACGGUCCAGACACCGUACGGGUGGCA